CUCAAAGGAAUUGACGGGGGACCCGCACAAGCGGUGGAGCAUGUGGUUUAAUUUCGAAGCAACGCGAAGAACCUUACCAAAUCUUGACAUCCUCUGACCCCUCUAGAGAUAGAAGUUUCCCCUUCGGGGGACAGAGUGACAGGUGGUGCAUGGUUGUCGUCAGCUCGUGUCGUGAGAUGUUGGGUUAAGUCCCGCAACGAGCGCAACCCUUAAGCUUAGUUGCCAUCAUUAAGUUGGGCACUCUAAGUUGACUGCCGGUGACAAACCGGAGGAAGGUGGGGAUGACGUCAAAUCAUCAUGCCCCUUAUGAUUUGGGCUACACACGUGCUACAAUGGACAAUACAAAGGGCAGCGAAACCGCGAGGUCAAGCAAAUCCCAUAAAGUUGUUCUCAGUUCGGAUUGUAGUCUGCAACUCGACUAUAUGAAGCUGGAAUCGCUAGUAAUCGUAGAUCAGCAUGCUACGGUGAAUACGUUCCCGGGUCUUGUACACACCGCCCGUCACACCACGAGAGUUUGUAACACCCGAAGCCGGUGGAGUAACCAUUUGGAGCUAGCCGUCGAAGGUGGGACAAAUGAUUGGGGUGAAGUCGUAACAAGGUAGC
Molecule: ribosomal RNA, 603 nt
Filed under: uncultured Staphylococcus sp.
Lineage: Bacteria; Bacillati; Bacillota; Bacilli; Caryophanales; Staphylococcaceae
Description: bacterial SSU rRNA
Rfam family: Bacterial small subunit ribosomal RNA
Source: RNAcentral